This 377-nucleotide ribosomal RNA is filed under the name uncultured bacterium. RNAcentral's name for it is "bacterial SSU rRNA". It matches the Rfam family "Bacterial small subunit ribosomal RNA", at positions 521 to 896 of the family's 1533-position model. The record is from RNAcentral.
UAAGACAGAGGUCUCGAGCGUUAAUCGGAUUUAUUGGGCUUAAAGCGUGCGUAGGCGGGCCGCUAAGCGUCUUGUGAAAGCCCCCGGCUCAACCGGGGAACUGCGGGACGGACUGGCGGCCUUGAGGCAGGUAUGGGCGGACAGAACUGUCGGUGGAGCGGUGAAAUGCGUAGAGAUCGACAGGAAUGCCUAUGGUGAAGACGGUCCGCUGGGCCUGUCCUGACGCUCAGGCACGAAAGCGUGGGGAGCAAACAGGAUUAGAUACCCUGGUAGUCCACGCCGUAAACGAUGCGCACUGGGUCGGUGCCGCUCUGACGCGGUAUCGGCCGCAGGGAAACCGUUAAGUGCGCCGCCUGGGGAGUACGGUCGCAAGGCUA